RNAcentral lists this non-coding RNA (113 nucleotides) under Deltaproteobacteria bacterium. Its description in RNAcentral is "TPP sequence". It matches the Rfam family "TPP riboswitch aptamer (THI element)". Rfam says of the family: Vitamin B(1) in its active form thiamin pyrophosphate (TPP) is an essential coenzyme that is synthesised by coupling of pyrimidine and thiazole moieties in bacteria. The previously detected thiamin-regulatory element, thi box was extended, resulting in a new, highly conserved RNA secondary structure, the THI element, which is widely distributed in eubacteria and also occurs in some archaea. Lineage: Bacteria; Pseudomonadati; Myxococcota; Myxococcia. The record is from RNAcentral.
CAUAACCGCCAGGGGUGCUAUUCGCUGAGAGCCCGGGGAGGGUUUCCGCCCAGGGCAACCCGUCGAACCUGAUCCGGGUAAUACCGGCGCAGGGAGCGUGGCCUUUCACGAAC